GGAGUUAGCCGGUGCUUCUUCUGUGAGUGAUGUCCUUCCUGCCGGUUAUUGACCCGCAGGCCUUCUUCCUCACUGAAAGUGCUUUACAACCCGAAGGCCUUCUUCACACACGCGGCAUGGCUGGAUCAGGGUUGCCCCCAUUGUCCAAUAUUCCCCACUGCUGCCUCCCGUAGGAGUCUGGGCCGUGUCUCAGUCCCAGUGUGGCUGAUCAUCCUCUCAGACCAGCUACGGAUCGUCGCCUUGGUGAGCCGUUACCUCACCAACCAGCUAAUCCGACAUAGGCUCAUCCGAUAGCGCGAGGCCCGAAGGUCCCCCGCUUUCCCCCGUAGGGCGUAUGCGGUAUUAGCCUGGGUUUCCCCAGGUUAUCCCCCACUACCGGGCAGAUUCCUAUGCAUUACUCACCCGUCCGCCGCUCGCCACCAGGGAGCAAGCUCCCCGUGCUGCCGCUCGACUUGCAUGUGUAGCUCGCCGCCACGCGUCAUCUGAGCAGAAUACAACUACUGA
RNAcentral lists this ribosomal RNA (504 nucleotides) under uncultured bacterium. RNAcentral describes it as "partial 16S ribosomal RNA". The record is from RNAcentral.